GACGGAGGGUGCUAGCGUUGUUCGGAAUUACUGGGCGGAAAGGGCGCGUAGGCGGCCUGGUCAGUCGGAUGUGAAAGCCCGGGGCUCAACCCCGGAACGGCAUCCGAGACGGCCAGGCUGGAGACCGGGAGAGGAGAGUGGAAUAGCCAGUGUAGAGGUGAAAUUCGUAGAUAUUGGCUGGAACACCGGUGGCGAAGGCGGGUCUCUGGGCCGAUACUGACGCUGAGGAGCGAAAGCGUGGGGAGCGAUCCGG
This 253-nucleotide ribosomal RNA is filed under the name uncultured bacterium. RNAcentral's name for it is "partial 16S ribosomal RNA". It matches the Rfam family "Bacterial small subunit ribosomal RNA", at positions 524 to 776 of the family's 1533-position model. The record is from RNAcentral.